AUUAAACGCUGGCGGCAUGCCUUACACAUGCAAGUCGAACGGCAGCACGGGGGCAACCCUGGUGGCGAGUGGCGAACGGGUGAGUAAGGCAUCGGAACGUGCCCUGGAGUGGGGGAUAACGUAGCGAAAGUUACGCUAAUACCGCAUAUUCUGUGAGCAGGAAAGCAGGGGAUCGCAAGACCUUGCGCUCUGGGAGCGGCCGAUGUCGGAUUAGCUAGUUGGUGGGGUAAAGGCCUACCAAGGCGACGAUCCGUAGCGGGUCUGAGAGGAUGAUCCGCCACACUGGGACUGAGACACGGCCCAGACUCCUACGGGAGGCAGCAGUGGGGAAUUUUGGACAAUGGGCGAAAGCCUGAUCCAGCCAUGCCGCGUGAGUGAAGAAGGCCUUCGGGUUGUAAAGG
This 401-nucleotide ribosomal RNA is filed under the name uncultured bacterium. RNAcentral's name for it is "bacterial SSU rRNA". It matches the Rfam family "Bacterial small subunit ribosomal RNA", at positions 29 to 431 of the family's 1533-position model. The record is from RNAcentral.